AGCGUUAUCCGGAUUUAUUGGGUUUAAAGGGUGCGCAGGCGGAUUAGUAAGUCAGUGGUGAAGCUCCCGGCUCAACCGGGAAAAUGCCAUUGAUACUGUUAAUCUUGAGUACAGUUGAGGUUGGCGGAAUGUAUCAUGUAGCGGUGAAAUGCAUAGAUAUGAUACAGAACACCGAUAGCGAAGGCAGCUUACCAAACUGUAACUGACGCUCAUGCACGAAAGCGUGGGGAGCAAACAGGAUUAGAUACCCUGGUAGUCCACGCUGUAAACUAUGAUCACUCGCUGUUGGCGAUACACUGUCAGCGGCUUAGCGAAAGUGUUAAGUGAUCCACCUGGGGAGUACGAUCGCAAGGUUGAAACUCAAAGGAAUUGACGGGGGCCCGCACAAGCGGAGGAGCAUGUGGUUUAAUUCGAUGAUACGCGAGGAACCUUACCUGGGCUUAAAUGCAGAACGACCUCCCGAGAAAUCGGGACUUCCUUCGGGACGGACUGCAAGGUGCUGCAUGGUUGUCGUCAGCUCGUGCCGUGAGGUGUCGGGUUAAGUCCCAUAACGAGCGCAACCCUUAUCCUUAGUUGCCAACAGGUAAUGCUGGGAACUCUAAGGAAACUGCCUACGCAAGUAGUGAGGAAGGUGGGGAUGACGUCAAAUCAGCACGGCCCUUAUGUCCAGGGCUACACACGUGCUACAAUGGUCGGUACAGGGGGCAGCUACCUGGCAACAGGAUGCUAAUCUCGAAAGCCGAUCUCAGUUCGGAUUGGAGUCUGCAACUCGACUCCAUGAAGUUGGAUUCGCUAGUAAUCGCGCAUCAGCUAUGGCGCGGUGAUACGUUCCCGGGCAUUGUACACACCGCCCGUCAAGCCAUGGAAGCUGGGAGUACCUGAAGUCUGUUACCGCAAGGAGCGGCACUAGGGUAAAACCAGUAACUGGGGCUA
This 933-nucleotide ribosomal RNA is filed under the name uncultured organism. RNAcentral describes it as "bacterial SSU rRNA". It matches the Rfam family "Bacterial small subunit ribosomal RNA", at positions 537 to 1483 of the family's 1533-position model. The record is from RNAcentral.